AACGAACGCUGGCGGCAGGCCUAACACAUGCAAGUCGAACGCUCCAGCAAUGGAGAGUGGCAGACGGGUGAGUAACGCGUGGGAACCUUCCCAGUGGUACGGAAUAGCCCAGGGAAACUUGGGGUAAUACCGUAUACGCCCCUAGGGGGAAAGAUUUAUCGCCAUUGGAUGGGCCCGCGUCGGAUUAGCUUGUUGGUGAGGUAAAAGCUCACCAAGGCGACGAUCCGUAGCUGGUCUGAGAGGAUGAUCGGCCACACUGGGACUGAGACACGGCCCAGACUCCUACGGGAGGCAGCAGUGGGGAAUAUUGGACAAUGGGCGCAAGCCUGAUCCAGCCAUGCCGCGUGAGUGACGAAGGCCCUAGGGUUGUAAAGCUCUUUUGGCGGGGACGAUAAUGACGGUACCCGCAGAAUAAGCUCCGGCUAACUUCGUG
This 433-nucleotide ribosomal RNA is filed under the name uncultured bacterium. Its description in RNAcentral is "bacterial SSU rRNA". It matches the Rfam family "Bacterial small subunit ribosomal RNA", at positions 29 to 507 of the family's 1533-position model. The record is from RNAcentral.